This 301-nucleotide ribosomal RNA is filed under the name uncultured bacterium. RNAcentral describes it as "partial 16S ribosomal RNA". It matches the Rfam family "Bacterial small subunit ribosomal RNA", at positions 509 to 807 of the family's 1533-position model. The record is from RNAcentral.
CAGCAGCCGCGGUAAAACGAAGGGUGCAAGCGUUAAUCGGAAUUACUGGGCGUAAAGCGUGCGUAGGCGGUUUGUUAAGUCUGCUGUGAAAUCCCCGGGCUCAACCUGGGAAUGGCAGUGGAUACUGGCAAGCUAGAGUGUGUCAGAGGAUGGUGGAAUUCCCGGUGUAGCGGUGAAAUGCGUAGAGAUCGGGAGGAACAUCAGUGGCGAAGGCGGCCAUCUGGGACAACACUGACGCUGAGGCACGAAAGCGUGGGGAGCAAACAGGAUUAGAUACCCCCGUAGUCCCUGUCUCUUAUAC